UACGUAGGGUGCAAGCGUUAAUCGGAAUUAUUGGGCGUAAAGAGCUCGUAGGCGGUGUGUCGCGUCGGCCGUGAAAACCUGGGGCUCAACUCUGGGCGUGCGGUCGAUACGGGCAUCACUUGAGUUCGGCAGGGGAGACUGGAAUUCCUGGUGUAGCGGUGAAAUGCGCAGAUAUCAGGAGGAACACCGGUGGCGAAGGCGGGUCUCUGGGCCGUAACUGACGCUGAGGGGCGAAAGCGUGGGGAGCGAACAGGG
Molecule: ribosomal RNA, 255 nt
Filed under: uncultured bacterium
Lineage: Bacteria
Description: partial 16S ribosomal RNA
Rfam family: Bacterial small subunit ribosomal RNA
Source: RNAcentral